CGGCGGACGGGUGAGUAACACGUGGAUAACCUACCUAUAAGACUGGGAUAACUUCGGGAAACCGGAGCUAAUACCGGAUAAUAUAUUGAACCGCAUGGUUCAAUAGUGAAAGACGGUUUUGAUGUCACUUAUAGAUGGAUCCGCGCCGCAUUAGCUAGUUGGUAAGGUAACGGCUUACCAAGGCAACGAUGCGUAGCCGACCUGAGAGGGUGAUCGGCCACACUGGAACUGAGACACGGUCCAG
RNAcentral lists this ribosomal RNA (244 nucleotides) under uncultured Staphylococcus sp. RNAcentral describes it as "partial 16S ribosomal RNA". It matches the Rfam family "Bacterial small subunit ribosomal RNA", at positions 96 to 334 of the family's 1533-position model. The record is from RNAcentral. Lineage: Bacteria; Bacillati; Bacillota; Bacilli; Caryophanales; Staphylococcaceae.